CGCUGGCGGCGUGCCUAAUACAUGCAAGUCGAGCGGAAUGAUAAAGAAGCUUGCUUCUUCUGAUUCUAGCGGCGGACGGGUGAGUAACACGUGGCAACCUACCUUGUAGAUUGGGAUAACUCCGGGAAACCGGGGCUAAUACCGAAUAAUCCAUUUUGCUUCAUGGCGAGAUGUUGAAAGACGGUUUCGGCUGUCACUACAAGAUGGGCCCGCGGCGCAUUAGCUAGUUGGUAGGGUAAUGGCCUACCAAGGCGACGAUGCGUAGCCGACCUGAGAGGGUGAUCGGCCACACUGGGACUGAGACACGGCCCAGACUCCUACGGGAGGCAGCAGUAGGGAAUCUUCCACAAUGGACGAAAGUCUGAUGGAGCAACGCCGCGUGAGUGAAGAAGGUUUUCGGAUCGUAAAACCCUGUUGUAAGGGAAGAACACGUACGAGAGUAACUGCUCGUACCUUGACGGUACCUUAUUAGAAAGCCACGGCUAACUACGUG
RNAcentral lists this ribosomal RNA (493 nucleotides) under uncultured bacterium. RNAcentral describes it as "bacterial SSU rRNA". It matches the Rfam family "Bacterial small subunit ribosomal RNA", at positions 34 to 507 of the family's 1533-position model. The record is from RNAcentral.